Molecule: ribosomal RNA, 868 nt
Filed under: uncultured archaeon
Lineage: Archaea
Description: bacterial SSU rRNA
Rfam family: Archaeal small subunit ribosomal RNA
Source: RNAcentral
CUCCGGUUGAUCCUGCCGGACCUGACUGCUAUCGGAUUGGUACUAAGCCAUGCGAGUCGUUGUAGCAAUACAAGGCGGACGGCUCAGUAACACGUAGUCAACCUAACCUAUGGACGUGGAUAACCUCGGGAAACUGAGAAUAAACCGCGAUAGAUCAUUAUGCCUGGAAUGGCUUAUGGUUCAAACAAUUUAUUGCCGUAGGAUGGGACUGCGGCCUAUCAGCUUGUUGGUGAGGUAAUGGCCCACCAAGGCUAUAACAGGUACGGGCUCUGAGAGGAGAAGCCCGGAGAUGGGUACUGAGACACGGACCCAGGCCCUAUGGGGCGCAGCAGGCGAGAAACCUUAGCAAUGUGCGAAAGCACGACUAGGUUAAUCCGAGUGAUUUCUGUUGAAGAAAUCUUUUGUCAGUCGUAAAACCACAGACGAAUAAGGGGUGGGCAAGUCUGGUGUCAGCCGCCGCGGUAAUACCAGCACCUCGAGUGGUCAGGAGGUUUAUUGGGCCUAAAGCAUCCGUAGCCGGCUACGCAAGUCUCCGGUUAAAUCCAGCUGCUCAACAGAUGGGCUGCCGGAGAUACUACAUAGCUAGGGAGCGGGAGAGGUAGACGGUAUUCUGUGGGUAGGGGUAAAAUCCACUGAUCCAUAGAGGACCACCAGUGGCGAAGGCGGUCUACCAGAACGCGUUCGACGGUGAGGGAUGAAAGCUGGGGGAGCAAACCGGAUUAGAUACCCGGGUAGUCCCAGCUGUAAACGAUGCAAACUCGGUGAUGCAUUGGCUUAUGGCCAAUGCAGUGCCGCAGGGAAGCCGUUAAGUUUGCCGCCUGGGAAGUACGGACGCAAGUCUGAAACUUAAAGAAUUGGCGGGGGAGCA